Molecule: long non-coding RNA, 661 nt
Organism: Phragmites australis (common reed)
Lineage: Eukaryota; Viridiplantae; Streptophyta; Magnoliopsida; Poales; Poaceae
Exons: 3
Source: RefSeq, a predicted model, not a curated record
GCGGAGUGCGGAUAGUCCCCUGGCGGCGGAUCCUGCUCGCCUGCUUGGCGCCUCGGCCUCCCCUGCAGCGCUCAACGGUGCUACGCAAGUAGAGGAUUCUCCCCCAGUACCCCACCCACUCCUGCAACCCACAUGGUACUCCCGGCCACUGCCACAGCAGCAGUGCUGGUUCCCCAUCCAAUUGAAACAAGUGAUAACAGGAUCCCCUAUCUCGGUACCCCUCCACUCUUUCUCCCGACCGAUUAAUUUCAGCAAAGCGCGUCUGAUUUCAUUACGUUCGCCUGGUCUACUCACAGGCUGCCAGCCAUCGCGGCCAGCAAGGCCAUCAUCCCAGAGGACCCGGAUGACGAGUUCUCCCUCGCCAAGGUGUCCUUUGGCGACGCGAAUGAAAACUUCUUCCCUUUUAUGUUUGAGGUGUCCUGCAUUUGUUUGUGUUCUUGUCGGAUUGGUGAGCAUUGAGCAUUGAAGAAGGACCGAGGACCAGAUUGGUGAGCACUGAUCAGCCCUCGCCCCUCGUCUCCCUCUCGCGCAAAUCAAUUCUAUUAUAAUUUGAUAGUUUGAUUACUCGGAUAUUUGGCAAUGCUGUAGAGAUCUAGAGAUGGAGAGAUAUUUUUCAAAAGAUGUCCUAAAAAGUUUAGAAACUAAAGAAAGUGGCGUUGAG